This is a small nuclear RNA of Otolemur garnettii (small-eared galago), 106 nucleotides long. Lineage: Eukaryota; Metazoa; Chordata; Mammalia; Primates; Galagidae. The record is from Ensembl.
AUGCUUGCUUCAGCAGCCCAUAUCCUGCAAUCAAAUAACAUAAAGAAGUUUAGCAUGGCUACUGCAUAAGGGUAACACACAAAUUCAUGAAGCACUCCAUAUUUUU